RNAcentral lists this ribosomal RNA (505 nucleotides) under uncultured bacterium. Its description in RNAcentral is "bacterial SSU rRNA". It matches the Rfam family "Bacterial small subunit ribosomal RNA", at positions 28 to 515 of the family's 1533-position model. The record is from RNAcentral.
GACGAACGCUGGCGGCGUGCCUAAUGCAUGCAAGUCGAGCGGGCUACGAUCUUCGGAUUGUAGCUUAGCGGCGAACGGGUGAGUAACACGUAGGUGAUCUACCCUUCAGAGGAGGACAACCUCAGGAAACUGAGGCUAAACCUUCAUACGUUCACUGGUAGGGAUACUGGUGAAGAAAGAGUUACCUUAGUGGUAGCUGCUGAAGGAUGAGCCUGCGGCCCAUCAGGUAGUUGGUGAGGUAACGGCUCACCAAGCCGAAGACGGGUAACCGGUCUGAGAGGAUGUCCGGUCACACUGGGACUGAGACACGGCCCAGACUCCUACGGGAGGCAGCAGCAGGGAAUCUUGGGCAAUGGGCGAAAGCCUGACCCAGCGACGCCGCGUGCAGGAAGGAGCCCUUCGGGGUGUAAACUGCUGUCGUGUAGGGAGAAGGGUACUAAGGUGAACAAUCUUAGUACUUGACGGUACUACAGGAGGAAGCCCAGGCUAACCUCGUGCCAGCACG